GAUUUUAUAUGUAUUUAUACCUUAGUUAAUUUAAUGCACAAACUUCUAAAUAUUACUUGUACGUCAGCUGUUUCAAAUUGUUCUGAGCCCAAAAGAUGGAAUUUCUUAUUCAUAGAUAGGAAAAGAAGGAAUGGGGAUAAGUGGAUAGAAGGGUUACGCCAAGGCUAUAAUUAAAUUUUUGCAGGAAACACCAAGGAGCUACUCCAUAAGAGGGAAACAGUGUUCUACCUUUCAAAUUACUUUCUUUUGAAGUACAUUGUAAGCCCAGAAGGAAGUUUAGUUAUAACCCUAUGAUAUGGUUUGGCUGUGUCCCCACCCAAAUCUCAUCUUGAAUUGUAGCACCCAUAAUUUCCACAGGUCAUUAGAGGGACUGGAUGAAAGGUAGUUGAAUUAUGGGGCUGGUUACCUCCAUGCUGUUCUCAUUAUAGUGAGUGAGUUCUCACAAGAUCUGAUGGUUUUACAAGGGGCUUCCCCCUUUGCUCGGCUCUUCUCCUUCCUGCCACCAUGUGAACAAGGAAACAUUUGCUUCUGCCUUCAACAUGAUUGUAAGUUUCCUGAUGCCUCCACAGCCAUGUGGAACGAUGACUCAAAACUGAGGCUAAUUAUCAGAAUAACCACAGGAGAUUUUAAAUACACAGAUGUCUGAGCCUCAUUCCUGAAGCUGGGUUCAGCACACAGAAGCACAGAAACUUUGGAGUUAGACUGGCUUGGAGUCUAAUCCAAGUUCUAUCAUCUACUAUCUGUGCGACUUUGAGUAGCUAUGUCUGCUUCUGAUCCAAAAAUCAUGUAUUUCACAUAACCACAGAAUUUUUGCAAACAAUAAAGAAUAUACAAGACAAGCACUUGGCAAAUGACUAUUUCUUCAUCUCUCUUUGCUAGUAGCUAUAGUUU
RNAcentral lists this long non-coding RNA (891 nucleotides) under Homo sapiens (human). RNAcentral's name for it is "HSALNT0192994". The record is from RNAcentral. Lineage: Eukaryota; Metazoa; Chordata; Mammalia; Primates; Hominidae.